RNAcentral lists this ribosomal RNA (253 nucleotides) under uncultured bacterium. Its description in RNAcentral is "partial 16S ribosomal RNA". It matches the Rfam family "Bacterial small subunit ribosomal RNA", at positions 524 to 776 of the family's 1533-position model. The record is from RNAcentral.
UACGAAGGGUGCAAACGUUGCUCGGAAUCACUGGGCGUAAAGGGUGCGUAGGCGGGUCUUUAAGUCAGGGGUGAAAUCCUGGAGCUCAACUCCAGAACUGCCUUUGAUACUGAAGAUCUUGAGUUCGGGAGAGGUGAGUGGAACUGCGAGUGUAGAGGUGAAAUUCGUAGAUAUUCGCAAGAACACCAGUGGCGAAGGCGGCUCACUGGCCCGAUACUGACGCUGAGGCACGAAAGCGUGGGGAGCAAACAGG